GAGUUUGAUCCUGGCUCAGAACGAACGCUGGCGGCACGCCUAACACAUGCAAGUCGAGCGCUACCUUCGGGUGGAGCGGCGGACGGGUUAGUAACGCGUGGGAACAUACCCUUUUCUACGGAAUAGCCUCGGGAAACUGAGAGUAAUACCGUAUACGGCCUUCGGGCGAAAGAUUUAUCGGUGAAGGAUUGGCCCGCGUUAGAUUAGAUAGUUGGUGGGGUAAUGGCCUACCAAGUCUACGAUCUAUAGCUGGUUUGAGAGGAUGAUCAGCAACACUGGGACUGAGACACGGCCCAGACUCCUACGGGAGGCAGCAGUGGGGAAUCUUAGACAAUGGGCGCAAGCCUGAUCUAGCGAUGCCGCGUGAGUGACGAAGGCCUUAGGGUCGUAAAGCUCUUUCGCCAGGGAUGAUAAUGACAGUACCUGGUAAAGAAACCCCGGCUAACUCCGUGCCAGCAGCCGCGGUAAUA
RNAcentral lists this ribosomal RNA (470 nucleotides) under uncultured Alphaproteobacteria bacterium. RNAcentral's name for it is "bacterial SSU rRNA". It matches the Rfam family "Bacterial small subunit ribosomal RNA", at positions 9 to 525 of the family's 1533-position model. Lineage: Bacteria; Pseudomonadati; Pseudomonadota; Alphaproteobacteria. The record is from RNAcentral.